CAGUAGCGUAUAUUAAAGUUGUUGCAGUUAAAAAGCUCGUAGUUGAAUUUCUGGUGGGCGCGCCGGUCUUCCAAGUGUUGUACUGGGCGCAGUCCGCCAUCCUUGUGGAGAGGGCUCGCAUUGAGUUGCGUGUCGGAUCUGCAUCAUUUACUGUGAAAAAAUUAGAGUGUUUAAAGCAGGCUGUCGCUUGAAUACAUUAGCAUGGAAUAAUAAGAUAGGACUUCGGUCUAUUUUGUUGGUUGCGAACCGAGGUAAUGAUUAAUAGGGAUAGUUGGGGGUAUUCAUAUUUAAUUGUCAGAGGUGAAAUUCUUGGAUUUAUGAAAGAUGAACAACUGCGAAAGCAUUUACCAAGGAUGUUUUCAUUNA
Molecule: ribosomal RNA, 366 nt
Filed under: uncultured eukaryote
Lineage: Eukaryota
Description: partial 18S ribosomal RNA
Rfam family: Eukaryotic small subunit ribosomal RNA
Source: RNAcentral